UUUUUUUAGAAAAUGACCGAUCGUUCCACUAGAUAAGACUCUUAUUCCUCGUCUGGGAUCAUGUGGAACGCUUUGAAGCUGCACUGAAACUGCAAUUUAGACCUUCAACCCAGUGAACCACACUGAAGUCCACUAUAAAGAGAAAACCCCUGGAAUGUUUCCUCAAAACCCUUAAUUUCUUUUCGACUGAAGAAAGAAAGACAUGAACAUCUUGGAUGACAUGGGGGAAGUCGGUGAACAGAAAUCACAUUGAGCAGAAAUAUGGAUGGAAAUACUGCAGUUGGAGACAUUCCGUGCUAGUCUGGCACUGCAGAUGAGCCUCCUCCUCCACUGGUGUUAGAUGAAGGACCGGUGUACGUUGUCUGUACCAUCCUUGUCUCCUGAUGAGGGGGCAGCCGCCUAGAAUACCUGAUUGACUGGGAAAGCUAUGGGCCUGAGGAAAGAUGUUGGGUCCCUCAUCACGACAUCCUAGACCCAGUUCUUCUAACAGAAUUCCACGUUCAGCACCCUGAUCGUCAAGCACCCAGAGGUAUAGGCAGCCCACGUUGUCACACUCACCGGUCCUCAGGAGCUGCUUGUGAGGAGGGGGGUACUGUCACAACUCCAUCUAAACCCUCAGCGCCAGACUCAUCAGUUCCUCCCACUCAUUCCCUUUCCUGAGAAUACUAACCAUCUGCACCUGGUGUCACCAAUCAAGAACUGUUAUUUAAACCACUCUCACACUCACACCAUUGUCUUGUUGAAAUUCUUGUUGGUUCUAUCCUCGUGUCUGCCUUCUUCAGUUGUGACAGUAUUAAUAAUUAGUUUUAUAAAAAUUUGCUCUGUUUUGCGAAUAGUUGCACAUAAUUUUACCAUGCAAUUUUUAUCAGUCAAGCCGUAUACAAGCAAAUGGCACUGUAAGUGGUAUAAUGUUCCUCCAGGUCUGCAGUACAGUUACAAGAAGGACACUGAAGUAGAUGUAAUUUAUGCAUGGUGUGCUGAGUGCUCUAAAUUCAUUUGUGAAACUGGUUUUCUUCUACUUUCUCUUUGCAGCACUUAAUUGGUUCUGUGUAUCACAACACACUUCUGGGAGUAUUUCAUGUUGGAUACUAUGUUCAUUGUCUACUUGCACUGGAAAGCUCUAUAAUAUCGGUGUAUUUUCAGAAACAUGCUGUGUGUUGGCCAUGUACUGUAAUACAUAAUACAAGCUAGCUUUUAAAAUGAAUGACACCCCCAGUGCAUUUGUUGCAAGUGCCACAUUUUCAAAAUGGCACAAUUCAAAGUGUCUUUUGAAUGAUUAGUAGAACAUAAUAAAUGAACAAAAACUAAAAUUAAAUAAAAUGAGUAGGCCAUAAGCUCCUUGUAAACAAUGUAGUGUAGUUCCACGGGGAAAAGAAGGGUGGGGCCACACUGUGUGUGCCCCCUCUGAUGCCAGCAGCCAAUGGAAUGGAGAAGCGCCAACUUUCUGAGUCUUCAGCCUGCAAUGGUGUCUCCAUACCAGAGAGACAUAAAGCGGAUUUAAUGUGUUCUGAGUCCCUAGCCCAGAGAGG
Ctenopharyngodon idella (grass carp) is the source of this 1529-nucleotide long non-coding RNA. RefSeq lists it as uncharacterized. NCBI's taxonomy places the organism in Eukaryota, Metazoa, Chordata, Actinopteri, Cypriniformes, Xenocyprididae. The transcript has 3 exons. The record is from RefSeq and is a predicted model, not a curated record.